GCCUACGGGGCGCAGCAGUAGGGAAUUUUCGUCAAUGGGCGCAAGCCUGAACGAGCAAUGCCGCGUGAACGAGGAAGGUCUUCGGAUCGUAAAGUUCUGUUGAAGGGGAAAAAGAGCGGAGAGAGGAAAUGGUCUCCGAUUGAUAUUACCCUUCGAGGAAGUCACGGCUAACUACGUGCCAGCAGCCGCGGUAAUACGUAGGUGGCGAGCGUUAUCCGGAAUGAUUGGGCGUAAAGGGUGCGUAGGCGGCCUGCUAAGUCUGAUGUGAAAGCCUUCGGCUCAACCGGAGAAUUGCAUCAGAAACU
This 305-nucleotide ribosomal RNA is filed under the name uncultured bacterium. Its description in RNAcentral is "bacterial SSU rRNA". It matches the Rfam family "Bacterial small subunit ribosomal RNA", at positions 337 to 634 of the family's 1533-position model. The record is from RNAcentral.